Molecule: ribosomal RNA, 405 nt
Filed under: uncultured prokaryote
Description: bacterial SSU rRNA
Rfam family: Bacterial small subunit ribosomal RNA
Source: RNAcentral
UGGGGAAUAUUGGGCAAUGGGCGAAAGCCUGACCCAGCAACGCCGCGUGAUUGAAGAAGGUCUUCGGAUUGUAAAGCUCUGUCCUUGGGGACGAAAAAAAUGACGGUACCCAAGGAGGAAGCCCCGGCUAACUACGUGCCAGCAGCCGCGGUAAUACGUAGGGGGCGAGCGUUGUCCGGAAUUACUGGGCGUAAAGGGUGCGCAGGCGGUUUUUUAAGUCAGAUGUGAAAUACCCGGGCUUAACCUGGGGGGUGCAUUUGAAACUGGAAGACUUGAGUGCAGGAGGGGAAAGUGGAAUUCCUGGUGUAGCGGUGAAAUGCGUAGAUAUUAGGAGGAACACCAGUGGCGAAGGCGACUUUCUGGACUGUAACUGACGCUGAGGCACGAAAGCGUGGGGAGCAAACA